AGAAGCGCGAAGGUUGCACUCUAAAACCAUUAGUGAACAUACCUAUCUUAGCGUGCUUCGGCGGGUAGCUCGCCCUCGGGGCGGGGGAUUGGCUCGGCCGCGCCGAGGAGGUACGAAACUCUUUAUAAUUGCUAGAAUUUCAUUGCUGAGUUCAUUACAAGCAAAUAAGUUA
Molecule: unclassified non-coding RNA, 172 nt
Filed under: soil metagenome
Description: partial internal transcribed spacer 1
Source: RNAcentral